UGCGUAGGUGGGCAGGUAAGUCAGUGGUGAAAUCUUCGAGCUUAACUCGGAAACUGCCAUUGAUACUAUCUGUCUUGAAUAUCCUGGAGGUGAGCGGAAUAUGUCAUGUAGCGGUGAAAUGCUUAGAUAUGACAUAGAACACCAAUUGCGAAGGCAGCUCACUACGGGAUUAUUGACACUGAGGCACGAAAGCGUGGGGAUCAAACA
This 207-nucleotide ribosomal RNA is filed under the name uncultured bacterium. Its description in RNAcentral is "partial 16S ribosomal RNA". It matches the Rfam family "Bacterial small subunit ribosomal RNA", at positions 568 to 774 of the family's 1533-position model. The record is from RNAcentral.